UCCAUUGCCUGUGCAAUUAGGACAAUGUGGUGUUAAAGCUUGUACCUGGAACUGCGAACCUACCCGAAGUCCAACUCCGAUUGUGGCUUUGGAUUUUGCCCUAAGCGGGUGUUAGGCCCGUACGGGUAGGUUCUUGCUUGUUAGCAGUUCUCAGAUGUACUUGCUUUCGAGUCGGAUUGCUUGAGAAUGCAGUCCAAAGCGGGUGGUAAACUCCAUCCAAGGCUAAAUACUGGCACGAGUCCGAUAGUAGACAAGUACCGUGAGGGAAAGUUGAAAAGUACUCUGAAGAGAGAGUAAAUAGUACGUGAAGCCGGUUGCAGAGAAGCUGGUGGAGUCAAGCUUCAUGCUUGGAGAAUUGGUGGCUGUGGCCUUGUUGUGAUUAAUAAAACCUGGUUAAUCAACUUGGAAAGAGUUGAGCGCAUUCGUGUGCUUCAAGUCAGACUGGGGGGUUGUUUGAUUGUAUUUGCUGGGUCAUUUAGUCAUAGUCGCUCUAUUCUCCGCUGCAUAAACCAUGGUCGGUAGUAUUUGCCAUGUGCUGUGCGGUUGCCUAACUGUGCUUUGGUAGGCUUCAUGCUUGCUGGGUGCAGGAUGGCAGGUGGUGAUCCAAGGCCUCGUGCUUUGGGUCUCUUAUAGUGGUUUUGACCAGCUGGUGAUCGCACAGUAUCAUUACUACCGUUGUUAGCUAUUGCCCAGUCUACGGACUUGCAAUAGUGAGAACCAUGGUUCUGAGGUAGACCUUCCACCCGAC
RNAcentral lists this ribosomal RNA (748 nucleotides) under Euryhaliotrema cribbi. RNAcentral's name for it is "eukaryotic LSU rRNA". It matches the Rfam family "Eukaryotic large subunit ribosomal RNA", at positions 116 to 648 of the family's 3401-position model. The record is from RNAcentral. Lineage: Eukaryota; Metazoa; Platyhelminthes; Monogenea; Dactylogyridea; Ancyrocephalidae.